AUUGAACGCUGGCGGCAUGCCUUACACAUGCAAGUCGAACGGCAGCACGGGAGCAAUCCUGGUGGCGAGUGGCGAACGGGUGAGUAAUGUAUCGGAACGUGCCUAGUCGUGGGGGAUAACGCAGCGAAAGCUGUGCUAAUACCGCAUACGAUCUGUGGAUGAAAGCGGGGGAUCGCAAGACCUCGCGCGCUUGGAGCGGCCGAUAUCAGAUUAGAUAGUUGGGGGGGUAAAGGCGCACCAAGGCGACGAUCUGUAGCUGGGCUGAGAGGACGACCAGCCACACUGGAACUGAGACACGGUCCAGACUCCUACGGGAGGCAGCAGUGGGGAAUUUUGGACAAUGGGCGCAAGCCUGAUCCAGCAAUGCCGCGUGCAGGAUGAAGGCCUUCGGGUUGUAAACUGCUUUUGUACGGAGCGAAAAGGCUCUCUCUAAUACAGGGGGCUCAUGACGGUACCGUAAGAAUAAGCACCGGCUAACUACGUGCCAGCAGCCGCCGUAA
This 500-nucleotide ribosomal RNA is filed under the name uncultured bacterium. RNAcentral describes it as "partial 16S ribosomal RNA". It matches the Rfam family "Bacterial small subunit ribosomal RNA", at positions 29 to 523 of the family's 1533-position model. The record is from RNAcentral.